This 66-nucleotide transfer RNA is filed under the name Oliarus cf. filicicola HI01081. Its description in RNAcentral is "tRNA-Phe". Lineage: Eukaryota; Metazoa; Arthropoda; Insecta; Hemiptera; Cixiidae. The record is from RNAcentral.
AUUCAGGUAGCUUAUGAAAAGUUUAAUAUUGAAAAUAUUAAGAAAAUAAUUUUUUAUUUUUGGAUA